Molecule: ribosomal RNA, 253 nt
Filed under: uncultured bacterium
Lineage: Bacteria
Description: partial 16S ribosomal RNA
Rfam family: Bacterial small subunit ribosomal RNA
Source: RNAcentral
UACGGAGGGGGCUAGCGUUGUUCGGAAUUACUGGGCGUAAAGCGCACGUAGGCGGCUUUGUAAGUUAGAGGUGAAAGCCCGGGGCUCAACUCCGGAAUUGCCUUUAAGACUGCAUCGCUUGAAUCCGGGAGAGGUGAGUGGAAUUCCGAGUGUAGAGGUGAAAUUCGUAGAUAUUCGGAAGAACACCAGUGGCGAAGGCGGCUCACUGGCCCGAUACUGACGCUGAGGCACGAAAGCGUGGGGAGCAAACAGG